Triticum aestivum (bread wheat) is the source of this 122-nucleotide non-coding RNA. Lineage: Eukaryota; Viridiplantae; Streptophyta; Magnoliopsida; Poales; Poaceae. The record is from Rfam.
UAACUAUUCCCUCCGUCUGAAAAGGCUUGUCUUAAGUUUUUCCCUCAAAUGUAUCUAGCGCUAACUUGGUGCUAGAUACAUUCAUUUGAGGGACAAGCUUUUUCGGACGGAGAGAGUAGGUC